Long non-coding RNA from Bufo gargarizans (Asiatic toad), 1966 nucleotides. RefSeq lists it as uncharacterized. The transcript has 3 exons. Lineage: Eukaryota; Metazoa; Chordata; Amphibia; Anura; Bufonidae. The record is from RefSeq and is a predicted model, not a curated record.
UCAUAUCAGAAGUAUAGGAAUGAGGAUGUGUGAUUUAGAUUUUCUCUACAUAUUAAUAAAAAGUAGAUGUCCCUCACUCCCAGAACGGUGAAUGCAGUGCAGUCAGGAACAUAAACGUAGAGAUGCAGGUUACCCUAAAAGUUAAAGGGUCUACAGGAGUCUGCAGUAAACACUCCCAGGGACCACCCUAGAGUAUCAGAAUAUAAGGAUUAGGACCCCGACAACUAAUCAAGCCCAAAGAGUAAAAUAGGCAAGAAUGAGACCAGCACAAUUGUCACCUCCCCAAAAAGUAUCGACCAGCACAACCGCCACCUCUCCCAUAAGCAUGAGACCAGCACAACCGCCACCUCCCCAAUAAGUAUCGACCAGCACAACCGCCACCUCCCCAAUAGGUAUCGACCAGCACAACCGCCACCUCCCCAAUAGGUAUCGACCAGCACAACCGCCACCUCCCCAAUAGGUAUCGACCAGCACAACCGCCACCUCCCCAAUAGGUAUCGACCAGCACAACCGCCACCUCCCCAAUAGGUAUCGACCAGCACAACCGCCACCUCCCCAAUAGGUAUCGACCAGCACAACCGCCACCUCCCCAAUAGGUAUCGACCCGCACAACCGCCACCUCCCCAAUAGGUAUCGACCCGCACAGCCGCCACCUCCCCAAUAGGUAUCGACCCGCACAACCGCCACCUCCCCAAUAGGUAUCGACCCGCACAACCGCCACCUCCCCAAUAGGUAUCGACCCGCACAACCGCCACCUCCCCAAUAGGUAUCGACCCGCACAACCGCCACCUCCCCAAUAGGUAUCGACCCGCACAACCGCCACCUCCCCAAUAGGUAUUGACUAGUAGGACCGCCACCUCCACUACGUAUGGUUUCUUCCGGGGCAUGAGCUGUGGAUGGUACGUAGUGUAUUUUAUUCAGAGAGAGAGAAUGGCAGCUCACCUUUGAGCGGUGGAGAGCACGGACAUGCUAAGGCUGCACCAAGUAGAUAACCAACGAAAAAAGCCAGGAAUAGAAAGUAUUUGUCAGACAUCCCACAUGUUCAAACACACAAUGCUCCAGCGGCUCCAUGCACUUUGUCACAUUUCUCAAAGUUGAUACCGCCACGUGUUAUACAUGGAAUUCAGCGUGUCACUGGGGGUUAGAAUUAUUCCAUCAUACCAGGAAAAUACAUAGAAUUAAAUCUAAAGAAAAGAUAAAAGGUGUCCACAGCCUUACUGACCCCAUCCCCAAUAAUCCUGACAGACAAUGGCGGUGAUUGUACACAUACCUCCACCUGCACCGCUGGACAUUACAUGUAUGGGGGAGGGAGGAGACUAGUGGGCUUAAGGACCUUUCAUGAUGUCAUGACCAUGUGACCAUGUGUGGGAGGGGUCCUCCAGGCUGUGCUGUUGAAGGAGGGAAAGGACCUGUGAUGAUGUCAUGAACAUGUGACUGUGUAUGGGAGGAGUCUGGAAUCACAUGACUGGGUGCUAUUCAGUGUAUUCAGGACUUUGUUGUGCUGGUUGUGAUCGGUGCUGGAUGACCUGAAGUGUUGCAUCGGGAUGUAGUUACAGAGUGUAUGCAGUGGAGCUGUCUCUGUCUCCUACAAUAUAGGAUCCGCUCAGUGGAGAUCUUCUAUAUCAGAUCCUUCUCCUGAUUGACCCAUCAAGAAUGGACGGGGACAAGAUGGCGGAGAGUAUAAUAAAUCUCACCCUAGAGAUUCUCUUCCGGCUUACUGGAGAGGACUACACAGUAGUGAAGAAGACCUCUAGUGAGGGCUGUCAGGCCCCUGUGUCUGAAGGAUGGGGAAGAACCCUGAGCCCAAUCACAGGGCCUCCACCUCAACCCCUGAUACAUAAGGAAAUCAAUAGAGAGAAGAUCCUAGAACUCACCAACAAGAUGAUUGAGCUGCUGACUGGAGAGGUUCCUAUAAGGUGUCAGGAUGUCACAGUCUAUUUCUCCAUGGAGGAAUGGGAGUAUUUAG